GGGCCCGCACAAGCGGUGGAGCAUGUGGUUUAAUUCGAUGAUACGCGAGGAACCUUACCAGGGCUUAAAUGUAAGUUGCAUUAGUUAGAGAUAGCUAUUUCUUCGGACCACUUACAAGGUGCUGCAUGGUUGUCGUCAGCUCGUGCCGUGAGGUGUCAGGUUAAGUCCUAUAACGAGCGCAACCCCUGUUGUUAGUUGCCAGCGAGUCAUGUCGGGAACUCUAACAAGACUGCCGGUGCAAACCGUGAGGAAGGUGGGGAUGACGUCAAAUCAUCACGGCCCUUACGUCCUGGGCUACACACGUGCUACAAUGGCCGGUACAGAGAGCAGCCACUACGCGAGUAGGCGCGAAUCUUCAAAGCUGAUCGUAGUCCGGAUCGGAGUCUGCAACUCGACUCCGUGAAGUCGGAAUC
RNAcentral lists this ribosomal RNA (413 nucleotides) under uncultured bacterium. RNAcentral's name for it is "bacterial SSU rRNA". It matches the Rfam family "Bacterial small subunit ribosomal RNA", at positions 917 to 1333 of the family's 1533-position model. The record is from RNAcentral.